UGGGGAAUUUUGGACAAUGGGCGAAAGCCUGAUCCAGCAAUGCCGCGUGUGUGAAGAAGGCCUUCGGGUUGUAAAGCACUUUUGUCCGGAAAGAAAUCCUUGGCUCUAAUACAGUCGGGGGAUGACGGUACCGGAAGAAUAAGCACCGGCUAACUACGUGCCAGCAGCCGCGGUAAUACGUAGGGUGCAAGCGUUAAUCGGAAUUACUGGGCGUAAAGCGUGCGCAGGCGGUUUGCUAAGACCGAUGUGAAAUCCCCGGGCUCAACCUGGGAACUGCAUUGGUGACUGGCAGGCUAGAGUAUGGCAGAGGGGGGUAGAAUUCCACGUGUAGCAGUGAAAUGCGUAGAGAUGUGGAGGAAUACCGAUGGCGAAGGCAGCCCCCUGGGCCAAUACUGACGCUCAUGCACGAAAGCGUGGGGAGCAAACAGGAUUAGAUACCCUGGUAGUCCACGCCCUAAACGAUGUCAACUAGUUGUUGGGGAUUCAUUUCCUUAGUAACGUAGCUAAUGCGUGAAGUUGACCGCCUGGGGAGUACGGUCGCAAGAUUAAAACUUAAAGGAAUUGACGGGGUCAUAGCUGUUUCCU
RNAcentral lists this ribosomal RNA (585 nucleotides) under uncultured bacterium. RNAcentral's name for it is "partial 16S ribosomal RNA". It matches the Rfam family "Bacterial small subunit ribosomal RNA", at positions 355 to 1375 of the family's 1533-position model. The record is from RNAcentral.